Molecule: long non-coding RNA, 411 nt
Filed under: Mytilus galloprovincialis (Mediterranean mussel)
Lineage: Eukaryota; Metazoa; Mollusca; Bivalvia; Mytilida; Mytilidae
Source: RNAcentral
ACUAAAUAGCGAUAAGGUGUAUUGAUAGCGAUUCUUUGUUUACAUUGAAUAACUUAAAUUACGUAACAACUAAAAUCCCUCACAACAGAACCAAAAUCGGAAACAUUACGGUUUUUCCGUUUCUUUUUUAACAGAUUUUAAAGUGAAAAUAUGUUUGAAUUUAAAAAAAUAAUUCAUACAUCGUCCCCUUUUCACAGCAGGGAUGGGGUCGAUUACUUUAAAAUGUAAUCGAUUACAUUACAAUUACUUUGCUAAUAAAAUGUAAUCGAUUACAUUACAAUUACACCCUAUUUCAUAUGUAAUCAAUUACAUUAGAUUACUUUUCUUUAUUGUAAUCAUGAUUACUUUAGAUUACUUAUGAUUACAUUGUAUAUUGCUAUAUCAAAGUUUUUUUAAAACUUUUUAUCCGCU